RNAcentral lists this ribosomal RNA (254 nucleotides) under uncultured bacterium. RNAcentral describes it as "partial 16S ribosomal RNA". It matches the Rfam family "Bacterial small subunit ribosomal RNA", at positions 524 to 776 of the family's 1533-position model. The record is from RNAcentral.
UACGAAGGGGGCUAGCGUUGUUCGGAUUUACUGGGCGUAAAGCGCACGUAGGCGGAUAUUUAAGUCAGGGGUGAAAUCCCGGGGCUCAACCCCGGAACUGCCUUUGAUACUGGGUAUCUUUGAGUCCGGAAGAGGUGAGUGGAAUUCCGAGUGUAGAGGUGAAAUUCGUAGAUAUUCGGAGGAACACCAGUGGCGAAGGCGGCUCACUGGUCCGGUACUGACGCUGAGGUGCGAAAGCGUGGGGAGCAAACAGG